UACGAAGGGUGCAAGCGUUAAUCGGAAUUACUGGGCGUAAAGCGUGCGUAGGCGGUUUGUUAAGUCUGCUGUGAAAUCCCCGGGCUCAACCUGGGAAUGGCAGUGGAUACUGGCAAGCUAGAGUGUGUCAGAGGAUGGUGGAAUUCCCGGUGUAGCGGUGAAAUGCGUAGAGAUCGGGAGGAACAUCAGUGGCGAAGGCGGCCAUCUGGGACGGUACUGACGCUGAGACGCGAAAGCGUGGGGAGCAAACAGG
This 253-nucleotide ribosomal RNA is filed under the name uncultured bacterium. Its description in RNAcentral is "partial 16S ribosomal RNA". It matches the Rfam family "Bacterial small subunit ribosomal RNA", at positions 524 to 776 of the family's 1533-position model. The record is from RNAcentral.